RNAcentral lists this unclassified non-coding RNA (2262 nucleotides) under Hevea brasiliensis (rubber tree). The record is from RNAcentral. Lineage: Eukaryota; Viridiplantae; Streptophyta; Magnoliopsida; Malpighiales; Euphorbiaceae.
CUCGAUCCUCAUUCUCUCUUUCCUUUCUCCCAAUUUUAGUAACUAAAUUUUAAAGGCCUUGUGCAACAAAACAAAAUAAAUUCCACUCUCUCCAAUGACUUCUCGAGUAAAAGUCUCCGACGAGCCACUGAGUCCCUCCGGCCGGCUAUUUCUCCGGCCAGAGAUGGACACCAUAAUCCACUGUGCACUCGGCGUUGAAUACGCCAUGGACGUGGAAGCUGUAAAAACCACCAUAAGGAACUCUCUCAUGUUGAAGCACCCAAGAUUUUGCAGUCUCCUUGUACACGACAAGAAUGGAUUGGAACACUGGAGAAGAACAGAGGUCGACCUCGACAAACACAUCUUAGUUGUUGAAAACCCCGCCGAAGCCACCAACAACGACGGCAGUGAUAUUGAGAAAAUAGUGAACGAUUAUAUAGCAGGCUUAUCAGUAAGCUGCCCACUUAGCUUGGACAAGCCUUUGUGGGAAGUUCACAUAAUGUGGGAGCCACCGUGCGCUGUUUUCAGGUUUCAUCACGCACUUGGGGAUGGGAUCGACCUGAUGUCAAUUUUGCUCGGAAGUUGCAGAAAGGUGGAGGAUCCAGAGGCUGUGCCCAUCUUGGAUAUUGGAGGUAGCCGCAAGAAUCGGAAGGGAAGUUUUAGGAAAUUGUGGUUUCAGAGAGGGGUUUUGAUGGGGUUCUUGAAGAUGGUUUUGUAUACUUUGAAUAUUUUGAUGGGGUUCUUGAAGGUAGUUUUGUAUAGUUUGUUUUUCUAUUUGGAGAUGGUGUUGAGGAGUUUGUGGGUUAGAGACCGGAAGACGGUUAUCUCCGGCGGUGAAGGGGUGGAGCUGUGGCCUAGGGAAGUUGUUACUGCCCAUUUAUUGAUUGAGGACAUGAAAGUGGUAAAAAAGGCUAUUGCUAAUGCGACCAUUAAUGAUGUUCUUUUGGGGAUGAUAUCAGCUGGAUUUUCAAAGUACUUGGAUCAUCGAUCGCCAAAUUCUUUGAAGAAGAAUCAGCGAAUCACAGGAGUAGCCACGGUUAAUUUAAGAAAGCAACUAGGAUUGGAGGAUCUGACCAAGAUGAUCGAAAGCAAUUCAAGGGCUCGUAAGGGUAACAAAUUUGGGAUUAUUCUCUUACCUAUUUAUUAUGCGAAAGAUGUUGAACCUUUACAGCAUGUGAAGAGAGCUAAGGCAACACUUGACUUGAAGAAGAAGUCCUUGGAGGGUUAUUUCUCAUAUAAAGUUGCAGAUUUAGCAAUCACCUUGCUGGGAUGUAAGUUUGUUUCCUCUUUCAAUUACAGGAUUCAUAGUAAUUGUAGCUAUGUCAUCUCCAAUGUGGUUGGACCAAAAGAGAAGCUCACUAUAGCAGGCAAUCCUAUAAAGUAUGUAAGGGUUAACGUCACUGGCUUACCCCAAGCAGUGUCAAUGCACAUGGUGAGUUAUGCAGGGCAAGCUGAUAUGCAAAUUGUAGUGGCCAAAGACAUCAUGCCUGACCCUAAAUUUUUUGCUAAAUGCAUUGAAGAUUCCCUGCUUGAAAUGAAGGAAGCUGCUCUUGCUGCCGUCAAACUAGGAGGAUAAAUGGUCAUUACAAAGAAUCAAUAAGGAAAAAAAUUGUUGCCAUUAUCUGCAAGUUAAAUUACCUUUGAAGGAAUUUGGGCACCCAUGUGGUCAACCCUUUUGCAUACAUUGACUUUGGUCAAAAUAAUAAGAAGGUAAUUAACUUUAAUAAAGGUUCCUUUUGCGUAUUCGUUGUGUGUACAAGUGUGUGUUUCUUGCUUGCCCUUAGUCUUUGAAUACAUCUCUCAUUCAACAAAUUGGUGGAGCGCUCAUUGUUUUUGCAAACAAGGCAUACAUUUAGACUCUGAAAUUUUUGACAAAGUUCAUGAUUUCAUGAGAUUGUAUUAGAGAUGAAUGGUAUAAAUCGGUGAUCCUAGAGUUUAUAUAUGUUUAUGGUUUAGAAACUAUGAGUUUUAAUUUUUCUUCAAUCUUAUUGUUUGUCAUGAAAAUAAUUUAGCUAGUUAACAGCUAGGAAACUACGAGUGUGCUAGAUUUUAUAUAUAUAUCAAUCAAGAAAAUAUACUUUCUAAUAACUUCUAAAUCAGAUAAAAUGAGAAAUGAGUACACUGAAUGUAGUUUUGCCGUAAAUGCUCUAUUUAAAUCAAAAUAAAUAUUAACUGAAAUUAAAGAAAUUGUACAUGGAAUAAAAUUGAAAUUUGAUUACUGAAAAGAAAAAUUUUGAGGAAUCUAGUGAAACCACAUUUAAUGUGGAUCAAUUGGGUCAUUUG